GAACGGGUGAGUAAUGUCAUCGGAACGUGCCAUUGAGUGGGGGUAACGUAGCGAAAGUUACGCUAAUACCGCAUAUUCUGUGAGCAGGAAAGCAGGGGAUCGCAAGACCUUGCGCUCUUUGAGCGGCCGAUGUCAGAUUAGCUAGUUGGUGAGGUAACGGCUUACCAAGGCGACGAUCUGUAGCGGGUCUGAGAGGAUGAUCCGCCACACUGGAACUGAGACACGGUCCAGACUCCUACGGGAGGCAGCAGUGGGGAAUUUUGGACAAUGGGGGCAACCCUGAUCCAGCCAUGCCGCGUGAGUGAAGAAGGCCUUCGGGUUGUAAAGCUCUUUCGGCCGGGAAGAAAUCGCAUGGGUUAAUACCCUGUGUGGAUGACGGUACCGGCAUAAGAAGCACCGGCUAACUACGUG
Molecule: ribosomal RNA, 411 nt
Filed under: uncultured bacterium
Lineage: Bacteria
Description: bacterial SSU rRNA
Rfam family: Bacterial small subunit ribosomal RNA
Source: RNAcentral